CCGACCUUAGCUCAGUUGGUAGAGCGGAGGACUGUAGUAGUUGCAGCUGAAUCCUUAGGUCGCUGGUUCGAAUCCGGCAGGUCGGA
Molecule: transfer RNA, 86 nt
Filed under: Macleaya cordata
Lineage: Eukaryota; Viridiplantae; Streptophyta; Magnoliopsida; Ranunculales; Papaveraceae
Rfam family: tRNA
About the family: Transfer RNA (tRNA) molecules are approximately 80 nucleotides in length. Their secondary structure includes four short double-helical elements and three loops (D, anti-codon, and T loops).
Source: Rfam by way of RNAcentral